GUGGGGAAUCUUCCGCAAUGGACGAAAGUCUGACGGAGCGACGCCGCGUGAGUGAAGAAGGCCUUCGGGUCGUAAAGCUCUGUCAUCAGGGACGAACGGCCGGUGGAGUGGAAAGCCACCGGAUUGACGGUACCAGAGAAGGAAGCCACGGCUAACUACGUGCCAGCAGCCGCGGUAAUACGUAGGUGGCAAGCGUUGUCCGGAAUUAUUGGGCGUAAAGCGCGCGCAGGUGGGAUCUUAAGUCCAUUUUUAAAGUUCGGAGCUCAACUCCGUGAUGGGAUGGAAACUGGGAUUCUUGAGUACCGGAGAGGAAAGCGGAAUUCCCCGUGUAGCGGUGAAAUGCGUAGAUAUGGGGAGGAACACCAGUGGCGAAGGCGGCUUUCUGGACGGUGUCUGACACUGAGGCGCGAAAGCCAGGGGAGCGAACGGGAUUAGAUACCCUUGUAGUCC
RNAcentral lists this ribosomal RNA (450 nucleotides) under uncultured bacterium. RNAcentral's name for it is "partial 16S ribosomal RNA". It matches the Rfam family "Bacterial small subunit ribosomal RNA", at positions 354 to 796 of the family's 1533-position model. The record is from RNAcentral.